This 82-nucleotide ribosomal RNA is filed under the name uncultured bacterium. RNAcentral describes it as "partial 16S ribosomal RNA". The record is from RNAcentral.
GUCACGGUGGAAAAAUGGCGAACGGUCGAACAGGCCGUACGUUUGAUGGUACACCGAGAGGAAGCACCGGCUAACUUCGUGC